Molecule: ribosomal RNA, 468 nt
Filed under: uncultured bacterium
Lineage: Bacteria
Description: partial 16S ribosomal RNA
Rfam family: Bacterial small subunit ribosomal RNA
Source: RNAcentral
GAUGAACGCUGGCGGUGUGCUUAACACAUGCAAGUCGAACGGAAAGGCCCUGCUUUUGUGCGGUGCUCGAGUGGCGAAGGGGUGAGUAACACGUGAGUAACCUGCCAUUGCCUUUGGGAUAACUUCAGGAAAGUGGGGCUAAUACCGGAUAGGAGCUCCUGCUGCAUGGUGGGGGUUGGAAAGUUUCGGCGGUUGGGGAGGGACUCGCGGCUUAUCAGCCUGUUAGUGGGGUAGUGGCUUACAUAGGCUUAGACGGGUAGCCGGCCUGAGAGGGGGAACGGCCACAUAGGGACUGCGAUACGGCCCAGACUCCUACGGGAGACAGCAGUGGGGAAUAUUGCACGAUAGGCGGAAGCCUGAUGCAGCAACGCCGCGUGCGAGAUGACGGCCUUCGGGUUGUAAACCGCUUUCGCCUGUGACGAAGCGUGAGUGACGGUAAUGGGUAAAGAAGCACCGGCUAACUACGUG